AAAAAUAACCCAAACGUAAUAUAUAUUCAAUAUAUUCAUCUCUACCUACCUAGUUAGCUGAGAGACUACGUACAUUAAUUUACUAAUAACACAUUGAUCGUCAUGGCCGCCGGUCCAACGAAAAAUGUAUGUUUUGUUUUGCUCAUUGUGGUGUUGUUCUUUGUUGCAACUAUAAAUACGACAUUUGCUACGAGGAGCUUAUCAGGGUAUGGUGAUGGAAACACUGAGGGAGAAGAAGGUGAAGAAGGAUCUUAUGUUGAUUCAAAAGAUGAGGGAUCUAAUUAUGAUGAUGGAAAAGAUGAGGGGUCUUACGAUGAAAAUAAAAAAGAUGACGAAGACCAUGAACAAGGGUCUGAAAAUGAUUCAAAUGAAUAUGACGCCGACAAAGGAGAUCAUCAUGAUGAUGAAGAAGAAAAUGAAGUAGACUCUGAAAAUAAAGAUGGUGCUAAUUACGGAGGAGAUGAUCACGAAGAAGGUGGUGAAAAUGAACGUGGUGGUGAAAAUGAACAAGGUGGAGAAAACAGAAAUGAUGAAUCGUACGGAUCUAAUGAUGGCGAAGACACUUAUGGUGGUGAUUUGAUUUCUCAUCUCUCUAAUCCUUGAGAUAUUUUUAACCUCUUAAGGACUUCAUUUCUACUUCAGAAUCUUGAUAAAAACUUAUUUAUUUGUACGUUUUUAUCAAUACUGUAUUCUAUAAAUAAAUAAAGCUUAUUUUUAUAUAACUAUUAUAUGAGUUAAUUCCAGCUAGCUAAAAUAAAGAUUCGAAUAUGAGAAGAACUAACUAACCUUAUAUUUACUAGAUUGAUGAAUCAGUGA
RNAcentral lists this long non-coding RNA (816 nucleotides) under Zostera marina. RNAcentral's name for it is "long non-coding RNA (ZMAR_LNC000665)". Lineage: Eukaryota; Viridiplantae; Streptophyta; Magnoliopsida; Alismatales; Zosteraceae. The record is from RNAcentral.